Molecule: non-coding RNA, 159 nt
Filed under: Ensifer adhaerens
Lineage: Bacteria; Pseudomonadati; Pseudomonadota; Alphaproteobacteria; Hyphomicrobiales; Rhizobiaceae
Also listed under: 1 other name
Description: 6S / SsrS RNA
Rfam family: 6S / SsrS RNA
About the family: E. coli 6S RNA was the first non coding RNA to be sequenced, but its function was unknown until recently. It consists of 184 nucleotides that fold into an extended hairpin structure with a large single-stranded internal bulge.
Source: RNAcentral
UGCGGUCUGCGCCUCACGACAGGUCAUCACAUCCCUGGGGCCAUACUCGAUCCUAAGGGAGCUGUCCCUGACCCGACCCGUGGGUUUGGUCACACGGUGCCCACCUACUUCUGUAGGCACCCAGGAUCGUAAAGUACCAUCGGUUUGCGUGGAUCGCAC